ACCAUCCUGCACCCCCUCCAUGGCCCCCACAAAUCCCGCGACGAUGCACCUAUUCUACCCCGACUGGUCUACAGGAGGCGUGGGAUGUAAGAACGAUGGGCAGGAACGUGCCUACAUGUCGGCGAACCCAAGUUAUUAUCUAAGCUCCACAUUGGAUAGCUGUUGCA
This 167-nucleotide non-coding RNA is filed under the name Thalassiosira antarctica. Lineage: Eukaryota; Bacillariophyta; Thalassiosirophyceae; Thalassiosirales; Thalassiosiraceae. The record is from RNAcentral.